RNAcentral lists this unclassified non-coding RNA (313 nucleotides) under plant metagenome. Its description in RNAcentral is "partial contains 5.8S ribosomal RNA, internal transcribed spacer 2, and large subunit ribosomal RNA". The stretch from base 1 to 106 matches the Rfam family "5.8S ribosomal RNA", at positions 50 to 154 of the family's 154-position model. The record is from RNAcentral.
GAAAUGCGAUAAGUAAUGCGAAUUGCAGAAUUUCCGUGAGUCAUCGAAUCUUUGAACGCACAUUGCGCCCACUGGUAUUCCGGUGGGCAUGCCUGUCCGAGCGUCAUUACGCACCCUCAAGCCCGGCUUGUGUGAUGGGCCCUGGCGUCUCGUUCGCGAGACGGGCCCGAAAGGCAGCGGCGGCGUCGACCCGAUGAGCCCGAGCGUAUGGGGACUUUUGUCACACGUUUGCGGUGCGGACCGGCGCCUGCUUGACUUUUCUGAUUAUCCGGGUUGACCUCGGAUCAGGUAGGGAUACCCGCUGAACUUAAGC